RNAcentral lists this ribosomal RNA (460 nucleotides) under uncultured bacterium. RNAcentral describes it as "partial 16S ribosomal RNA". It matches the Rfam family "Bacterial small subunit ribosomal RNA", at positions 338 to 795 of the family's 1533-position model. The record is from RNAcentral.
CCUACGGGUGGCAGCAGUGAGGAAUAUUGGUCAAUGGACGAGAGUCUGAACAAGCCAAGUAGCGUGAAGGAUGACUGCCCUAUGGGUUGUAAACUUCUUUUAUAUGGGAAUAAAAUGUUCCACGUGUGGGAUUUUGUAUGUACCAUAUGAAUAAGGAUCGGCUAACUCCGUGCCAGCAGCCGCGGUAAUACGGAGGAUCCGAGCGUUAUCCGGAUUUAUUGGGUUUAAAGGGAGCGUAGGUGGAUUGUUAAGUCAGUUGUGAAAGUUUGCGGCUCAACCGUAAAAUUGCAGUUGAAACUGGCAGUCUUGAGUACAGUAGAGGUGGGCGGAAUUCGUGGUGUAGCGGUGAAAUGCUUAGAUAUCACGAAGAACUCCGAUUGCGAAGGCAGUUCACUGGACUGCAACUGACACUGAGGCUCGAAAGUGUGGGUAUCAAACAGGAUUAGAUACCCGAGUAGUC